This 253-nucleotide ribosomal RNA is filed under the name uncultured bacterium. RNAcentral describes it as "partial 16S ribosomal RNA". It matches the Rfam family "Bacterial small subunit ribosomal RNA", at positions 524 to 776 of the family's 1533-position model. The record is from RNAcentral.
UACAGGGGGGGCAAGCGUUGUUCGGAAUUACUGGGCGUAAAGGGCUCGUAGGCGGCCAACUAAGUCAGACGUGAAAUCCCUCAGCUUAACUGGGGAACUGCGUCUGAUACUGGAUGGCUUGGAUUCGGGAGAGGAAUGCGGAAUUCCAGGUGUAGCGGUGAAAUGCGUAGAUAUCUGGAGGAAUACCGGUGGCGAAGGCGGCAUCCUGGACCGACAUUGACGCUGAUGAGCGAAAGCUAGGGGAGCAAACGGG